Molecule: ribosomal RNA, 749 nt
Filed under: uncultured Tissierellaceae bacterium
Lineage: Bacteria; Bacillati; Bacillota; Tissierellia; Tissierellales; Tissierellaceae
Description: bacterial SSU rRNA
Rfam family: Bacterial small subunit ribosomal RNA
Source: RNAcentral
GACGAACGCUGGCGGCGUGCUUAACACAUGCAAGUCGAACGAUGAAGAAAAGAAUUGAAGCUUCGGCAGAAAUUCAUUUCGGAUUAGUGGCAGACGGGUGAGUAACGCGUGAGCAACCUACCUCUUACAAAGGGAUAGCCUCGGGAAACCGGGAUUAAUACCAUAUAACAUUGCGACGAAGCAUUUCGAUGCAAUCAAAGCUACGGCGGUAAGAGAUGGGCUCGCGUCCCAUUAACCAGAUGGUGAGGUAACGGCUCACCAUAGUAACGAUGGGUAACCGGCCUGAGAGGGUGAACGGUCACACUGGAACUGAGACACGGUCCAGACUCCUACGGGAGGCAGCAGUGGGGAAUAUUGCACAAUGGAGGGAACUCUGAUGCAGCGACGCCGCGUGAGUGAUGAAGGAAUUCGUUUCGUAAAACUCUGUUCUAUGGGAAGAAAAGGACUGUACCAUAGGAGAAAGCUCCGGCUAAAUACGUGCCAGCAGCCGCGGUAAUACGUAUGGAGCGAGCGUUGUCCGGAAUUAUUGGGCGUAAAGGGUGCGCAGGCGGCUUUACAAGUUGGAUGUGAAAUAUUGUGGCUCAACCACAAACGUGCAUCCAAAACUGCAAAGCUUGAGUUAAGGAGAGGUAAGUGGAAUUCCUGGUGUAGCGGUGGAAUGCGUAGAUAUCAGGAGGAAUACCGGUGGCGAAGGCGACUUACUGGACUUAAACUGACGCUCAGGCACGAAAGCGUGGGGAGCAAACAGG